Molecule: unclassified non-coding RNA, 304 nt
Filed under: Limnodrilus hoffmeisteri complex sp. V
Lineage: Eukaryota; Metazoa; Annelida; Clitellata; Tubificida; Naididae
Description: internal transcribed sapcer 1
Source: RNAcentral
CCGAUACCCACACGUACAGAGGACGCACGUCCGACGUACAGGCAGUUGUUGGAUGAACACACGUUGGUUGAUGACUGGUUACGGAAAAACAGUAUACUCGUUGACGCUUCGGGGUACCUGUCGCACGUCGGCCUUUUUUGCGUGCGGUGAGCAGGCCUCGGGCUUCGGCCCCCGGUCGGCGAAGGUCCAACGAACCGUCGGCGCGAAAGCGCCGUCGGUCGCCCCGUCGCAUUCUCAUCAUGUCAGUUACCGGUGUCGUACGGUCGCAAUGUUACACUGUCAGGACAACGAGAGUUACACAGAC